AUUGAACGCUGGCGGCAGGCCUAACACAUGCAAGUCGAGCGAGUGGCGGACGGGUGAGUAAUGUCUGGGGAUCUGCCCGAUGGAGGGGGAUAACUACUGGAAACGGUAGCUAAUACCGCAUACGAUCGGAUGAACCCAUAUGGGAUUAGCUAGUAGGGGGGGUAAAGGCUCACCAAGGCGACGAUCCCUAGCUGGUCGGAGAGGAUGAACAGCCACACUGGGACUGAGACACGGCCCAGACUCCUACGGUAGGCAGCAGUGGGGAAUAUUGCACAAUGGGCGCAAGCCUGAUGCAGCCAUGCCGCGUGUAUGAAGAAGGCCUUCGGGUUGUAAAGUACUUUCAGCGGGGAGGCGUUACCCGCAGAAGAAGCACCGGCUAACUCCGUGCCAGCCGCCGCGGUAAUAC
RNAcentral lists this ribosomal RNA (406 nucleotides) under uncultured bacterium. Its description in RNAcentral is "partial 16S ribosomal RNA". It matches the Rfam family "Bacterial small subunit ribosomal RNA", at positions 30 to 526 of the family's 1533-position model. The record is from RNAcentral.